CCUACGGGUGGCUGCAGUGGGGAAUUUUGGACAAUGGGCGCAAGCCUGAUCCAGCCAUUCCGCGUGCAGGAUGAAGGCCCUCGGGUUGUAAACUGCUUUUGUACGGAACGAAACGGCCUUUUCUAAUACAAGAGGCUAAUGACGGUACCGUAAGAAUAAGCACCGGCUAACUACGUGCCAGCAGCCGCGGUAAUACGUAGGGUGCAAGCGUUAAUCGGAAUUACUGGGCGUAAAGCGUGCGCAGGCGGUGAUGUAAGACAGAUGUGAAAUCCCCG
RNAcentral lists this ribosomal RNA (275 nucleotides) under uncultured bacterium. RNAcentral describes it as "partial 16S ribosomal RNA". It matches the Rfam family "Bacterial small subunit ribosomal RNA", at positions 338 to 605 of the family's 1533-position model. The record is from RNAcentral.